UCGUUAAUGGUAGCACGGGGCAACCACCUGAGUCGGCCCACCAGAAUACAAAGACGGUGGUCUGGUGAGACCGUCUUUGUUUUUAAAGUACUUUCACGUGCCAGCCACGUGAUUUGAGGAUUCAAAAUCCAAAGACGGUUGUAUCCAGAUACCCGUCUUUGGAUUGUUGGUGGUUUCACGUGUAGGCCACGUGAUUGGAGGCGUUCAAGUACCACGACGGUCCUCUCGAACACCCGACUUUGUAUCGUUAAUGGUUUCACGUGGAGGCCACGUGAUUGGAGCCAUUAAAGUACAAAGACGGUCUUUGGCCAAAAGCCGUCUUUGUAUGGUUACAGUAUAAACACGUAAUCAUCUUCGUCAUUUAGUUACGAAGACGGUCUUGCCCUAGACCCGUCUUCGUAUUUGAUGCGUCAACAUACAAAGACGGGUUUGUUAGAAGAGCCGUCGUUGUAUGUUUUGUACAGACACGUGGCGGGCGUCAUUCAAAGACGGUCUUUUCUAGGACCCGUCAUUGUAUCCCAAAUUGUAUCACGUUUACGGCACGUGCUUGUUACUUUCUCUUACUUUGGCGCGCCGUAUCACUUCUUUGCUCCAUUUUUCGACUACUUGCCCUUACUUUGGCGCCCUAGCUACACAGACCUUCUUCUCCGACAAAGAGCUUCGUCUCCGACAAACAGCAUCUCGUGUCCGUUGCCUGUUGUUCCGUUUGCAGCCGCCGCCGACAAAGGCCCUUUGUUGUUGUUGGUUGUCUUCAUCGUGGUGUACAUCAUAGUGUUUAAGGAAGAUAAGGUGGUUCCAUAAGUGGGGUUUAAAAUCCAAAGACGAGCUUCGGGAACGGCCUGCUGCCAUCCUUCAUCAGUGGUGUCAUCCUGUGCCACAUUAUCAGUUUCGUUGAGCAUCGUUUGGUCUAUUGUGCAAGUUAGUACACUGAACUUCAUGAAACCCCCUAUGUUUAAUUUGAGCUUUAGAUUUGCUGUCUCCAUCCUUAGUUAUGUCUGUAAUUGAAUAAACUCGAAUUAUUUAUAAUGAAACAUCAACAUGUCCACUUUGAGACAUCUCAGCAAAUUAAAAUAAUAAUAAUGAAACAUCUCAACAAUUUUUUCAGGAUUGAGGGGGUGAAAAGUUCAAUUCUAGACAAAACAUAUAUAUAGACUGACACAGUUCUGAAGAGUUGUCAAUAAACGAUAACCCUACCACGUAUUGUAAUAUCUAUAAAGUAUAAACACAUUUAACGAAUAUACAUGUACCCUAAAAUUAAAAUCAAACUACAGUAGCGCAAAUAUAUAUACCUUCUUGCUUGUCUCUCAACUUCAACCAGGGUCAAUUAUGGGAAAGUCCAUCAUGCCUGCGCCAUAUUGAUCUCAAUAAUUCAAGGAAAAACCUAUAUUUUUCCAACCCUUGGAUUUCCUUCAGUCUAAUUUCACAUAUAAAUACUAUUACUCAAUUAGUAAUGGAAACAAUAUGGAGGACAUGCUGUAAAUCAUUGUCACUGCUUGUCUACCUAGAAGCUCUUCCCAGUGUUACUUUCAAAUCUUGCUUUCUUUGCAUCCAUUGUUGAGCGAAUAUAAGAGCCAUCAACCUGAA
Molecule: long non-coding RNA, 1584 nt
Organism: Glycine soja
Lineage: Eukaryota; Viridiplantae; Streptophyta; Magnoliopsida; Fabales; Fabaceae
Exons: 3
Source: RefSeq, a predicted model, not a curated record